CGCGAACGGUUUCUUCGGAGACCUAGUAGAGUGGCGCACGGGUGAGUAACGCGUAAAUAAUCUACCCUGAUGUCUGGGAUAACCGGCCGAAAGGCUGCCUAAUACCGGAUACAUGUUUAUCCGCAAGGAUAACCAGGAAAGGUGGCCUCUUCUUGAAAGCUACCGCAUUGGGAUGAGUUUGCGUACCAUUAGCUAGUUGGUGGGGUAAUGGCCCACCAAGGCGACGAUGGUUAGCGGGUCUGAGAGGAUGAUCCGUCACACUGGCACUGGAACACGGGCCAGACUCCUACGGGAGGCAGCAGUGAGGAAUAUUGCGCAAUGGGGGAAACCCUGACGCAGCGACGCCGCGUGAGUGAGGAAGGCCUUCGGGUCGUAAAGCUCUGUCAGAUGGGAAGAAGUGCUAUACGGUUAAUACCCGUACAGUUUGACGGUACCAUCAAAGGAAGCACCGGCUAACUCCGUGCCAGCAGCCGCGGUAAUACGGAGGGUGCAAGCGUUGUUCGGAAUCACUGGGCGUAAAGGGCGCGCAGGCGGUUUUAUAAGUCAGAUGUGAAAGCCCACGGCUUAACCGUGGAAGUGCAUUUGAAACUGUAAGACUUGAGUAUCAGAGGGGAAAGUGGAAUUCCCGGUGUAGAGGUGAAAUUCGUAGAUAUCGGGAGGAAUACCGGUGGCGAAGGCGACUUUCUGGCUGAAUACUGACGCUGAGGCGCGAAAGCGUGGGGAGCA
RNAcentral lists this ribosomal RNA (726 nucleotides) under uncultured bacterium. RNAcentral describes it as "bacterial SSU rRNA". It matches the Rfam family "Bacterial small subunit ribosomal RNA", at positions 67 to 770 of the family's 1533-position model. The record is from RNAcentral.